UGUCAUGACAUACUCAAACUUGGGGAAAGCAGGAAGAUGGUGUCCACAUCUCAGUUCCUUGGGCUCCUGCUCUUCUGGGUUUCAGCCUCCACAGGUGACAUUGUGCUGACUCAGUCUCCAGCCAUACUCUCUGUGACUCCUGGAGAUAGAGUCACCAUCACCUGCAAGGCCAGCCAAAGUAUUAGCACAAGCUUACACUGGUAUCAGCAAAAGCCAAGCGAGGCUCCAAAGCUCAUCAUCAAGUAUGCUUCCCAGUCCAUUACUGGGAUCCCCUCCAGGUUCAGCGGCAGUGGGUCAGGGACAGAUUUCACUCUCAGCAUCAACAAUCUGGAGCCAGAAGACGUUGCAAUGUAUUUUUGUCAACAGAGUAGCAGCUUACCUCCCACAGUGACACAGACCAUAGCAAAAACCAUCAGGGAAGCAGAAGUGUGA
Phodopus roborovskii (desert hamster) is the source of this 432-nucleotide non-coding RNA. NCBI's taxonomy places the organism in Eukaryota, Metazoa, Chordata, Mammalia, Rodentia, Cricetidae. The record is from the annotation of a RefSeq genome assembly.